GAUGAACGCUGGCGGCGUGCCUAAUACAUGCCAGUCGAGCGAACAGACGAGGAGCUUGCUCCUCUGACGUUAGCGGCGGACGGGUGAGUAACACGUGGAUAACCUACCUAUAAGACUGGGAUAACUUCGGGAAACCGGAGCUAAUACCGGAUAAUAUAUCGAACCGCAUGGUUCAAUAGUGAAAGACGGCUUUGCUAUCACUUAUAGAUGGAUCUGCGCCGCAUUAGCUAGUUGGUAAGGUAACGGCUUACCAAGGCGACGAUGCGUAGCCGACCUGAGAGGGUGAUCGGCCACACUGGAACUGAGACACGGUCCAGACUCCUACGGGAGGCAGCAGUAGGGAAUCUUCCGCAAUGGGCGAAAGCCUGACGGAGCAACGCCGCGUGAGUGAUGAAGGUCUUCGGAUCGUAAAACUCUGUUAUUAGGGAAGAACAAAUGUGUAAGUAACUGUGCACGUCUUGACGGUACCUAAUCAGAAAGCCACGGCUAACUACGUG
This 497-nucleotide ribosomal RNA is filed under the name uncultured bacterium. RNAcentral describes it as "partial 16S ribosomal RNA". It matches the Rfam family "Bacterial small subunit ribosomal RNA", at positions 28 to 507 of the family's 1533-position model. The record is from RNAcentral.